Molecule: ribosomal RNA, 676 nt
Filed under: Lysinibacillus pakistanensis
Lineage: Bacteria; Bacillati; Bacillota; Bacilli; Caryophanales; Bacillaceae
Description: bacterial SSU rRNA
Rfam family: Bacterial small subunit ribosomal RNA
Source: RNAcentral
CUUGCUCCUUUGACGUUAGCGGCGGACGGGUGAGUAACACGUGGGCAACCUACCUUAUAGUUUGGGAUAACUCCGGGAAACCGGGGCUAAUACCGAAUAAUCUAUUUCACUUCAUGGUGAAAUACUGAAAGACGGUCUCGGCUGUCGCUAUAAGAUGGGCCCGCGGCGCAUUAGCUAGUUGGUGAGGUAACGGCUCACCAAGGCGACGAUGCGUAGCCGACCUGAGAGGGUGAUCGGCCACACUGGGACUGAGACACGGCCCAGACUCCUACGGGAGGCAGCAGUAGGGAAUCUUCCACAAUGGGCGAAAGCCUGAUGGAGCAACGCCGCGUGAGUGAAGAAGGUUUUCGGAUCGUAAAACUCUGUUGUAAGGGAAGAACAAGUACAGUAGUAACUGGCUGUACCUUGACGGUACCUUAUUAGAAAGCCACGGCUAACUACGUGCCAGCAGCCGCGGUAAUACGUAGGUGGCAAGCGUUGUCCGGAAUUAUUGGGCGUAAAGCGCGCGCAGGCGGUCCUUUAAGUCUGAUGUGAAAGCCCACGGCUCAACCGUGGAGGGUCAUUGGAAACUGGGGGACUUGAGUGCAGAAGAGGAAAGUGGAAUUCCAAGUGUAGCGGUGAAAUGCGUAGAGAUUUGGAGGAACACCAGUGGCGAAAGCGACUUUCUGGUCUGUAA